GCCGCGGUAAUACGGAGGGUGCAAGCGUUACUCGGAAUCACUGGGCGUAAAGCGCGCGCAGGCGGCCAUUUAAGUUGGAUGUGAAAGCCUACAGCUCAACUGUAGAACUGCAUCCAAAACUAUUUGGCUAGAGUGUGGGAGAGGAAGAUGGAAUUAGUUGUGUAGGGGUAAAAUCCGUAGAGAUAACUAGGAAUACCAAAAGCGAAGGCAAUCUUCUGGAACACUACUGACGCUGAGGCGCGAAAGCGUGGGGAGCAAACAGGAUUAGAUACCCUGGUAGUCCACGCAGUAAACGAUGAAUGUUAGUCGUCGGGUAGCUAGUCUAUUCGGUGAUGCAGCUAACGCAUUAAACAUUCCGCCUGGGGAGUACGGUCGCAAGAUUAAAACUCAAAGGAAUAGACGGGGACCCGCACAAGUGGUGGAGCAUGUGGUUUAAUUCGAAGAUACGCGAAGAACCUUACCUAGCCUUGACAUAUAUUUAGAACAUUUUAGAGAUAGAAUGGUGCCUUCGGGAGCUUUUUAUACAGGUGCUGCACGGCUGUCGUCAGCUCGUGUCGUGAGAUGUUGGGUUAAGUCCCGCAACGAGCGCAACCCUCGUCACUAGUUACUAACGGUUCGGCCGAGGACUCUAGUGAGACUGCCUUCGCAAGGAGGAGGAAGGUGAGGACGACGUCAAGUCAUCAUGGCCCUUACGGCUAGGGCAACACACGUGCUACAAUGGUUGGGACAAUGAGACGCAAUACCGCGAGGUGGAGCAAAUCUAUAAACCCAAUCUCAGUUCGGAUUGUUCUCUGCAACUCGAGAACAUGAAGCUGGAAUCACUAGUAAUCGUAGAUCAGCUAUGCUACGGUGAAUACGUUCCCGGGUCUUGUACUCACCGCCCGUCACACCAUGGGAGUUGAUUUCACCCGAAGCGGGGAAGCUAAACUGGCUACCCUCCACGGUGGAAUUAGCGACUGGGGUGAAGUCGUAACAAGGUAGCC
RNAcentral lists this ribosomal RNA (983 nucleotides) under uncultured epsilon proteobacterium n22. Its description in RNAcentral is "bacterial SSU rRNA". It matches the Rfam family "Bacterial small subunit ribosomal RNA", at positions 514 to 1501 of the family's 1533-position model. Lineage: Bacteria; Pseudomonadati; Campylobacterota. The record is from RNAcentral.